UACGAAGGGUGCAAACGUUGCUCGGAAUUACUGGGCGUAAAGGGCGCGUAGGCGGCCUGUUAAGUCGAACGUGAAAUCCCCGGGCUCAACCCGGGAACUGCGUCCGAUACUGGCAGGCUUGAAUUCGGGAGAGGGAUGUGGAAUUCCAGGUGUAGCGGUGAAAUGCGUAGAUAUCUGGAGGAACACCGGUGGCGAAGGCGGCAUCCUGGACCGGUAUUGACGCUGAGGCGCGAAAGCUAGGGGAGCAAACGGG
This 253-nucleotide ribosomal RNA is filed under the name uncultured bacterium. RNAcentral's name for it is "partial 16S ribosomal RNA". It matches the Rfam family "Bacterial small subunit ribosomal RNA", at positions 524 to 776 of the family's 1533-position model. The record is from RNAcentral.